UUACAGCCAUAUCAUAUUGAAACACUGGUUCUCAUAUGAAUACUGGUUAAGCAAAGUCAAGCCUGGUCAGUAGUUAGAUGGGUGACCACUUGGAAAUGCCAGGUGAUGUAUG
Non-coding RNA from Acanthosepion pharaonis, 112 nucleotides. NCBI's taxonomy places the organism in Eukaryota, Metazoa, Mollusca, Cephalopoda, Sepiida, Sepiidae. The record is from the annotation of a GenBank genome assembly.